AUGCGGGCCGUGUCAAUCGGACCCGAGGGUGCCGAAGAACGCAGGGAUUUUUCCGAUUUCUCCCUGUGGCCAACGAAACGGCAGUCGAGCUUCUUACCCCUCCGGCCC
Molecule: small RNA, 108 nt
Filed under: Rhizobium sp. Root1212
Lineage: Bacteria; Pseudomonadati; Pseudomonadota; Alphaproteobacteria; Hyphomicrobiales; Rhizobiaceae
Description: Rhizobiales sRNA Atu_At1
Rfam family: Rhizobiales sRNA Atu_At1
Source: Rfam by way of RNAcentral